This 71-nucleotide transfer RNA is filed under the name Felis catus (domestic cat). It matches the Rfam family "tRNA". Rfam says of the family: Transfer RNA (tRNA) molecules are approximately 80 nucleotides in length. Their secondary structure includes four short double-helical elements and three loops (D, anti-codon, and T loops). The record is from Rfam by way of RNAcentral. Lineage: Eukaryota; Metazoa; Chordata; Mammalia; Carnivora; Felidae. RNAcentral also lists the same sequence under 1 other name.
GCCUGGGUGGCUCAGUUGGUUAAGCGUCUGACUUUGGCUCAGGUUCAUGGGUUUAAACCCCACGUCAGGUU